AUUGAACGCUGGCGGCAUGCUUUACACAUGCAAGUCGAACGGUAACAGGUUAAGCUGACGAGUGGCGAACGGGUGAGUAAUGCAUCGGAACGUGCCCGGUCGUGGGGGAUAACGCAGCGAAAGCUGCGCUAAUACCGCAUACGAUCUGAGGAUGAAAGCGGGGGACCGUAAGGCCUCGCGCGAUCGGAGCGGCCGAUGUCAGAUUAGGUAGUUGGUGGGGUAAAGGCUCACCAAGCCAACGAUCUGUAGCUGGUCGGAGAGGACGACCAGCCACACUGGGACUGAGACACGGCCCAGACUCCUACGGGAGGCAGCAGUGGGGAAUUUUGGACAAUGGGCGAAAGCCUGAUCCAGCAAUGCCGCGUGCAGGAAGAAGGCCUUCGGGUUGUGAACUGCUUUUGUACGGAGCGAAAAGGUCUCCUCUAAUACAGGGGGCUCAUGACGGUACCGUAAGAAUAAGCACCGGCUAACUACGUGCCAGCAGCCGCCGUAA
This 493-nucleotide ribosomal RNA is filed under the name uncultured bacterium. RNAcentral's name for it is "partial 16S ribosomal RNA". It matches the Rfam family "Bacterial small subunit ribosomal RNA", at positions 29 to 523 of the family's 1533-position model. The record is from RNAcentral.